CAGCCCGCGUGUGUACUGGUUUUCAAUUUUGCGCUAUGAAUAGGAAAAGUACGAUGGGUGGUGACACGCUGACUUACGUCAGACUUCCGGCGAUCCUCCUCCUCUUAACCGUCGCUAAUUCCGCCGGCGUCAGUGUUUCCGGCGAGUUGCCCGCUCUGAGCGUUGCAAAGUUUGCUUCAUUGCAGCUAUCCCCAAGCCUGGUUGUGGAGAAUUCCCCAGGUUCAAGACCUGGAUCUCACGUCGUUUGUGAAAGAGUCGAAAUUAUCGGCUUGCCAAGGCUUACAAAUCUCACAAGCUUCUUCUCUUCUGUAAAAGUUAAACUUACAAACGUAAAUUCCACAGGCCGUCCUCCAAGUAUCACCGUUUGUUUCCAUAGGAAUGCAUCUCUUGGGGUUGGUAUGUGCCCUGAAGGUCUGUGGGAGAAACUUACUAACGGGUCCUGGGUUUGAUCCAUGUCCCCAUUUGACCACAAGCUCUUGGAUAUACGUUCAGUGGGCCCUUCUGUGGGAACCGUUGAGGUUGUACUGAACGAAGAAUUUUAUCUGUAUCGUGUUGUAUUUUUUAUACUGGGAAUAACAAUGAUGACAUUUGCAUCGUCGUUAAGCAACUCGUUAGCAACCUACUACGGUGGUGCUAUGACAUUAGGGGUUUUGCUUGUUGUUUUGGUGAUCCUCUUUCAGGUAGUCAUGAAUUAA
Molecule: RNA transcript, 695 nt
Organism: Helianthus annuus (common sunflower)
Lineage: Eukaryota; Viridiplantae; Streptophyta; Magnoliopsida; Asterales; Asteraceae
Exons: 4
Source: RefSeq, a predicted model, not a curated record